Molecule: transfer RNA, 73 nt
Filed under: Minisyncoccota bacterium
Lineage: Bacteria; Bacillati; Minisyncoccota
Description: tRNA-Thr
Rfam family: tRNA
About the family: Transfer RNA (tRNA) molecules are approximately 80 nucleotides in length. Their secondary structure includes four short double-helical elements and three loops (D, anti-codon, and T loops).
Source: RNAcentral
GCCAAGAUAGCUCAGAUGGUAGAGCACUUCCAUGGUAAGGAAGAGGUCGCGGGUUCGAUUCCCGCUCUUGGCU